UUUCAAAKGAUUUGGUUUGUUUGACAGUGAACCACAGCAGCUGAAAUGUAACAAGUGCUGCAGUUUUGGUCCCAAUCGAACCGAGUCUACUGGACUAUCAGAUUCAAUGGACGGAGGCGGAUACAACCUGGACAAGUCUUCACUCAGCACUCAUUCUCCCUGAAAAGACGGGGGCUGAAAUACCUGAGCAGAUAGUUGAUGGAGCUGUAAGGAGCMGAAAUGCCUGAGAACGUCGGGUCGCUGUCAGCUCCGGCUUCCUGUCGAGAAACGAUUGCGCCUCAGCAGAUCCAUGUGGUUCGGCUCAUCAUCAAAGCAAGACGAGUCCAAACUGCAACAAUCAAUCAGAUCUGCAAAGAGAUCCGUUUCUGCACCUUAGAGGUGAGGAACAGAGUAGCUAAUAUCUCUGCAGACCCCGCACAUCCUGGACACAAACUCUUUAGACUUUUGCCUUCAGGUGCUACACUGCGUUGUUUGCAGCCUCCACAGAGACAGUUUUUUUCCACCUGUCUGUCUCUCUGAUGAACACCAAACAAUUUUGUUUUGUCUUUUACAAAAACAGUGACGCUUUACAUAUCUGCAAAAAGUUGAAGUUAUAUUCCCUGUUUGUGUGCAAGGACAUGACAAAAAGCUAAAUCUGAACUUUAAUGUAUUUAUUUUAUGUGUUAGAGCAACAUAAAGUAGAGCAUAAUUGUAAAGUAGUAUCAGAUAAAAAAAGAGUAAAUUGUCAGUUGAUGGUAAUCAGGAUAAGCUGUAAAGCUAAUAAUCUCUGAUGAAUCAGUGCUUACGUAAAUGCUCUUCUUUUUKGUUUUUGAUCAAUAAGUUUCUGUUUCCUUAAGAAAAAUCUGACUGUUUUAAUAUUGUAUGCUUAAUUCAUUGUGAAGUAUGUAAACAAGWCCACAAUAUAAUUAUUUUGUGAUUUUAAAAUCACAUUUUUAGCCCAAAAAGUCUGGUUGGCAUGACGAUUUUGGCUGAUAAUAUGUGGACUCCCAUCACAUCCUGGUUAAAAUAUAAUACUACUUAAAAAAAACACUACAGUCAAUUAAAUGCUUUAGUCAAAUAUUAUAUUUUUAUUUGACUCUUUUGUGUAAAUGCUUGRUCAAACAGAAACCCGUAUGUACAAAACAAAACUUGCUUGGGCACAAAAUUCUUAAAAUAAUUGUGGAUCCUUCAGAUUGCAGCGCACAACUUACAAAAUAAAAUGAAAUUUUAUCAACAAAAGCAUGGACGGGGCAUGAGAGAAAAAUAAUUGGCUGCURUAAGAAGAGAUUGAAGCUGUGGGUGGGUUUUUGAAAAGAAUGUACAGUGGCAGCCAGCUGUUAACAGCUGGACGUGUUUCAGGCCAGAAUAUAAAAGACGCCCGGCUGCUAGAGACUUAUUACAAUGAACGCCACACUACUGAGCUUUAAAAGGUCGGCUAGCAGCUAUGCCUACCGUAGAUACAUCAAGGCUAAUUAAAAUAUAAUUAAUAUCUCUAAGACUGAGCUGACACAAUAAUUCAGGAGCUCCAUCAGCUUUUCAAAURCAGCAGGGGAGAUGUUGAACCAGCAUACCUUCAUUAUCAGACAAUAACCUUUUACAACUGGAACACACUUUUAGCAAAAUUGUUGAAUUAUGGUUAUUAUCCUUCUGAAAAUUGUGUCUGUGUUUGGCCACAUUCAGGCCAGGACUUGGAGAAAUCAGGACAUUCUGACCUGUUGCUCUGUAGGGUAAGACGGUAGACCCAGUUUUCCAGAACUGGGGCGCAGAUAGACCCAAAAAUAGUGAAAAAUACAAGCAGAUUUGCAUCAGCAGAGUCCCGGUGGCUUUGCACUGAGAGCCUUUGCAUAUGCCUGAUUCUGCAGCCAGAGCAGGAAGUGRAUUGUUUCAUUAUGACUCAAGCAGAGCUGCAUGGUGRUGUGCUGGUUGGUAAGCAGUUUCCCUCCAGAAACUAAAGCUGAGUUUUAAGUCUGAGCCCAUUUGGACCUGUCCCUGUCAGUUUACAUGUUUUCCCCCUGCAGGUGUGUCUUUCUGCUCCUCCACAAACACACCUGGCAAUGCGAACGUUGCCUUGCUGCACCCUGACUUCAGCCUGAAAAGUCUGCAAAAACCCAUGAGAGGAAUCCGAAAGUUAAUUAGAUACUUGGGUCAAAGUUAAUAACAUGAUUCUGUCUGAAGUGGGCUCAGUAAAGUUUGUUCAGCAGAAUAUGAAAUUAUGUGAUAAAAUUCAAAUUGUUACAAGGCCAGACGGUCGUUAUUCUACAAUUUUUAGCAGGUGGAAAUGUAACCAGACUGAAACUCUCUUUUUAGAAUUUACCAGAUUUCUUAACAAAUUAUUGACUUUAUAUUUUUACUCAC
Poecilia reticulata (guppy) is the source of this 2334-nucleotide long non-coding RNA. RefSeq lists it as uncharacterized. Lineage: Eukaryota; Metazoa; Chordata; Actinopteri; Cyprinodontiformes; Poeciliidae. The record is from RefSeq and is a predicted model, not a curated record.